GUGAUCAGUACUGGAAUUCAGAGAGAAGUUUAAAUUUGCAUAAAAUCUUCUGAUAAUGCAUAUCUUGUAUAACACGAUUUCCUAUAAUGCAGAGCAUAUCCCCAUGUUGAACAAGAGUCCACUGUAUAUUCUUUUUGUUUUUUUAAUUAUUCUUCAGAGAGACACUUUAUUAAAGUUGAAUUUUAAUCAAAAUUAUUUUAUGCUUAUCACAUACCAUUUCCAUGCUAUAUUAAAUUCUUUUGGUGGGAUUAUAUUAUUAAUAAUUUUGUCUUUGCUUUUUUCUUUAUAUAUUAGGUCAUCCCAUAAGUAAUGUCGUUUUUUGCACCUAUGAAGAAAACA
This 339-nucleotide long non-coding RNA is filed under the name Androctonus crassicauda. The record is from RNAcentral. Lineage: Eukaryota; Metazoa; Arthropoda; Arachnida; Scorpiones; Buthidae.